RNAcentral lists this ribosomal RNA (440 nucleotides) under uncultured bacterium. RNAcentral describes it as "partial 16S ribosomal RNA". It matches the Rfam family "Bacterial small subunit ribosomal RNA", at positions 338 to 795 of the family's 1533-position model. The record is from RNAcentral.
CCUACGGGAGGCAGCAGUGGGGAAUAUUGCACAAUGGGGGAAACCCUGAUGCAGCGACGCCGCGUGAGUGAAGAAGUAAUUCGUUAUGUAAAGCUCUAUCAGCAGGGAAGAAAAUGACGGUACCUGAGUACGAAGCCCCGGCUACCUACGUGCCAGCAGCCGCGGUAAUACGUAGGGGGCAAGCGUUAUCCGGAUUUACUGGGGGUAAAGGGAGCGUAGACGGCAGUGCAAGUCUGGAGUGAAAGGCGGGGGCUCAACCCCCGGACUGCUCUGGAAACUAUAGGGCUGGAGUGCAGGAGAGGUAAGCGGAAUGCCUAGUGUAGCGGUGAAAUGCGUAGAUAUUAGGAGGAACACCAGUGGCGAAGGCGGCUUACUGGACUGUAACUGACGUUGAGGCUCGAAAGCGUGGGUAGCAAACAGGAUUAGAUACCCGAGUAGUC